This 358-nucleotide unclassified non-coding RNA is filed under the name soil metagenome. RNAcentral's name for it is "partial contains 5.8S ribosomal RNA, internal transcribed spacer 2, and large subunit ribosomal RNA". The stretch from base 1 to 120 matches the Rfam family "5.8S ribosomal RNA", at positions 35 to 154 of the family's 154-position model. The record is from RNAcentral.
GAUGAAGAACGUAGCGAAAUGCGAUAAGUAAUGUGAAUUGCAGAAUUCAGUGAAUCAUCGAAUCUUUGAACGCACAUUGCGCCCGUCAGUAUUCUGGCGGGCAUGCCUGUUCGAGCGUCAUUACGCCCCUCAAGUCCCCUGUCGACUUGGUGUUGGGGAUCGGCGAGGCUGGUUUUCCAGCACAGCCGUCCCUUAAAUUAAUUGGCGGUCUCGCCGUGGCCCUCCUCUGCGCAGUAGUAAAACACUCGCAACAGGAGCCCGGCGCGGUCCACUGCCGUAAAACCCCCCAACUUUUUAUAGUUGACCUCGAAUCAGGUAGGACUACCCGCUGAACUUAAGCAUAUCAAUAAGCGGAGGA